Molecule: ribosomal RNA, 180 nt
Filed under: uncultured bacterium
Lineage: Bacteria
Description: partial 16S ribosomal RNA
Rfam family: Bacterial small subunit ribosomal RNA
Source: RNAcentral
AUGAAGUUGGAAUCGCUAGUAAUCGCGGAUCAGCAUGCCGCGGUGAAUACGUUCCCGGGCCUUGUACACACCGCCCGUCACACCAUGAGAGUCGGGAACACCCGAAGUCCGUAGCCUAACCGCAAGGGGGCGCGGCCGAAGGUGGGUUCGAUAAUUGGGGUGAAGUCGUAACAAGGUAUC